GGGGGUGAUCGGUUUCGACCGUUAGGUUGUACGGUGAGGAAGCGUGUCGAGGAUGCCAGUGACCUCGUUAAUCAUCCGGCAAAACCAUAAAUGCUGACAACAGCUACGCUCUCGCGGCCUAAAUAGUGCCCCGAGCGUGCUGCACACUUUGCCUGAGGGUGUGCAGAGCGAAAUUACUAUCAGGCUGGCGCAAAGGCUGUGUAGCAGGGCCGAGCGCGAGAUCACACUGCAGCUCGCCGACCCGGAGCGUGUUCGUUCGCGCCGGUGACGCUAACUUCAAACGACGAACUACACACGUAGAUGCCUUAUCGAUCUGCUUGGCGGCACGCGGGUUCGAUUCCCGCCACCUCCACCA
This 355-nucleotide transfer-messenger RNA is filed under the name Planctomycetota. RNAcentral describes it as "JADJRK01 sp020425515 Standard tmRNA". It matches the Rfam family "transfer-messenger RNA". Rfam says of the family: Bacterial tmRNA, also known as 10Sa RNA or SsrA, is named for its dual tRNA and mRNA-like properties. Its role is to liberate the mRNA from a stalled ribosome. Lineage: Bacteria; Pseudomonadati. RNAcentral also lists the same sequence under 1 other name. The record is from RNAcentral.